RNAcentral lists this ribosomal RNA (445 nucleotides) under uncultured bacterium. RNAcentral describes it as "bacterial SSU rRNA". It matches the Rfam family "Bacterial small subunit ribosomal RNA", at positions 331 to 792 of the family's 1533-position model. The record is from RNAcentral.
CCAGACUCCUACGGGAGGCAGCAGUGGGGAAUAUUGCACAAUGGGGGAAACCCUGACCCAGCGACGCCGCGUGAGGGAAGACGGUCUUCGGAUUGUAAACCUCUGUCUUUGGGGACGAAAAAGGACGGUACCCAAGGAGGAAGCUCCGGCUAACUACGUGCCAGCAGCCGCGGUAAUACGUAGGGGGCAAGCGUUAUCCGGAUUUACUGGGUGUAAAGGGAGCGUAGGCGGCAGUGCAAGUCAGAAGUGAAAGCCCGGGGCCCAACCCCGGGACUGCUCUGGGAACUGUGCGGCUGGAGUGCGGGAGGGGCAGGCGGAAUUCCUGGUGUAGCGGUGAAAUGCGUAGAUAUCAGGAGGAACACCGGCGGCGAAGGCGGCCUGCUGGACCGCGACUGACGUUGAGGCUCGAAAGCGUGGGGAGCAAACAGGAUUAGAUACCCUAGUA